RNAcentral lists this ribosomal RNA (685 nucleotides) under uncultured Bacteroidales bacterium. Its description in RNAcentral is "bacterial SSU rRNA". It matches the Rfam family "Bacterial small subunit ribosomal RNA", at positions 64 to 736 of the family's 1533-position model. Lineage: Bacteria; Pseudomonadati; Bacteroidota; Bacteroidia; Bacteroidales. The record is from RNAcentral.
GAGGGGCAGCAUGGUCUUAGCUUGCUAAGGCUGAUGGCGACCGGCGCACGGGUGAGUAACACGUAUCCAACCUGCCGUCUACUCUUGGCCAGCCUUCUGAAAGGAAGAUUAAUCCAGGAUGGCAUCAUGAGUUCACAUGUCCGCAUGAUUAAAGGUAUUUUCCGGUAGACGAUGGGGAUGCGUUCCAUUAGAUAGUAGGCGGGGUAACGGCCCACCUAGUCAACGAUGGAUAGGGGUUCUGAGAGGAAGGUCCCCCACAUUGGAACUGAGACACGGUCCAAACUCCUACGGGAGGCAGCAGUGAGGAAUAUUGGUCAAUGGGCGAUGGCCUGAACCAGCCAAGUAGCGUGAAGGAUGACUGCCCUAUGGGUUGUAAACUUCUUUUAUAAAGGAAUAAAGUCGGGUAUGCAUACCCGUUUGCAUGUACUUUAUGAAUAAGGAUCGGCUAACUCCGUGCCAGCAGCCGCGGUAAUACGGAGGAUCCGAGCGUUAUCCGGAUUUAUUGGGUUUAAAGGGAGCGUAGAUGGAUGUUUAAGUCAGUUGUGAAAGUUUGCGGCUCAACCGUAAAAUUGCAGUUGAUACUGGAUGUCUUGAGUGCAGUUGAGGCAGGCGGAAUUCGUGGUGUAGCGGUGAAAUGCUUAGAUAUCACGAAGAACUCCGAUUGCGAAGGCAGCCUGCUAAGCUG